This 443-nucleotide ribosomal RNA is filed under the name uncultured bacterium. RNAcentral describes it as "partial 16S ribosomal RNA". It matches the Rfam family "Bacterial small subunit ribosomal RNA", at positions 338 to 795 of the family's 1533-position model. The record is from RNAcentral.
CCUACGGGAGGCAGCAGUGGGGAAUAUUGGGCAAUGGAGGAAACUCUGACCCAGCAACGCCGCGUGAGUGAUGAAGGUCUUCGGAUUGUAAAACUCUUUAAGUGGGGACGAAGAAAGUGACUGUACCCACAGAAUAAGCCUCGGCUAACUACGUGCCAGCAGCCGCGGCAAUACGUAGGAGGCAAGCGUUAUCCGGAAGGACUGGGUGUACAGGGUGCGUAGGUGGUUCGGCAAGUUAGUAGCGAAAUUCCGGGGCUCAACCUCGGAACUACUGCUAAAACUGUUGGGCUUGAGUGCAGGAGAGGCAUAUGGAAUGCCUAGUGUAGCGGUGGAAUGCGUAGAUAUUAGGAAGAACACCUGUGGCGAAGGCGAUAUGCUGGACUGUAACUGACGCUGAGGCACGAAAGCGUGGGGAGCAAACAGGAUUAGAUACCCGGGUAGUC